Molecule: ribosomal RNA, 510 nt
Filed under: uncultured bacterium
Lineage: Bacteria
Description: bacterial SSU rRNA
Rfam family: Bacterial small subunit ribosomal RNA
Source: RNAcentral
CUGGCGGCGUGCCUAAUACAUGCAAGUCGAACGCACUCUCGUUUAGAUUGAAGGAGCUUGCUCCUGAUUGAUAACAUUUGAGUGAGUGGCGGACGGGUGAGUAACACGUGGGUAACCUGCCCUAAAGUGGGGGAUAACAUUUGGAAACAGAUGCUAAUACCGCAUAAAACCUAACACCGCAUGGUGUAGGGUUGAAAGAUGGUUUCGGCUAUCACUUUAGGAUGGACCCGCGGUGCAUUAGUUAGUUGGUGAGGUAAAGGCUCACCAAGACCGUGAUGCAUAGCCGACCUGAGAGGGUAAUCGGCCACACUGGGACUGAGACACGGCCCAGACUCCUACGGAGGCAGCAGUAGGGAAUCUUCCACAAUGGACGAAAGUCUGAUGGAGCAACGCCGCGUGAGUGAAGAAGGUUUUCGGAUCGUAAAACUCUGUUGUUGGAGAAGAAUGUAUCUGAUAGUAACUGAUCAGGUAGUGACGGUAUCCAACCAGAAAGCCACGGCUAACUACGUG